UCCUACGGGUGGCUGCAGCAAGGAAUCUUCCGCAAUGGGGGCAACCCUGACGGAGCAACGCCGCGUGGGGGAUGAGGCCCUUCGGGGUGUAAGCCCCCUUUUCGCCGGGAAGAAGCGGGCGUUCGCGCUCGUUGACGGUACCGGCGGAAGAAGGACCGGCUAACUACGUGCCAGCAGCCGCGGUAAUACGUAGGGUCCGAGCGUUGUCCGGAGUUACUGGGCGUAAAGGGCGCGCAGGCGGCGGUGCUGGCCCGGCGUGAAAGCCCCCGGCUCAACCGGGGAAGGGCGUCGGGGACCGCACCGCUUGAGGGCGGUAGGGGCCGGUGGAAUGCCUGGUGUAGUGGUGAAAUGCGUAGAGAUCAGGCGGAACACCUGGGGCGAAGGCGGCCGGCUGGGCCGACCCUGACGCUGAGGCGCGAAGGCGUGGGGAGCGAACGGGAUUAGAUACCCCGGUAGUCCACGCAGUAAACGAUGCCGACUAGGCGUGGGGGGAGUUGACCCCCUCCGUGCCGGAGCCAACGCGGGAAGUCGGCCGCCUGGGGAGUACGGCCGCAAGGCUA
Molecule: ribosomal RNA, 560 nt
Filed under: uncultured Chloroflexota bacterium
Lineage: Bacteria; Bacillati; Chloroflexota
Description: bacterial SSU rRNA
Rfam family: Bacterial small subunit ribosomal RNA
Source: RNAcentral